AUUGAACACUGGCGGCAUGCUUAACACAUGCAAGUCGAACGGUAGCAGACCUAGCUUGCUAGGUGCUGACGAGUGGCGGACGGGUGAGUAACGCGUGGGAAUCUGCCCAGUAGCGGGGGACAACUCGGGGAAACUCGAGCUAAUACCGCAUACGCCCUACGGGGAAAGGCUUCGGCCACUAUUGGAUGAGCCCGCGUCGGAUUAGCUUGUUGGUGGGGUAAUGGCCUACCAAGGCGACGAUCCGUAGCUGGUCUGAGAGGAUGAUCAGCCACACUGGGACUGAGACACGGCCCAGACUCCUACGGGAGGCAGCAGUGGGGAAUAUUGGACAAUGGGCGAAAGCCUGAUCCAGCAAUGCCGCGUGUGUGAAGAAGGCCUGCGGGUUGUAAAGCACUUUCAGUAGGGAAGAUUAUGACGGUACCUACAGAAGAAGCACCGGCUAACUCCGUGCCAGCAGCCGCGGUAAUGUAGACG
This 474-nucleotide ribosomal RNA is filed under the name uncultured bacterium. RNAcentral describes it as "bacterial SSU rRNA". It matches the Rfam family "Bacterial small subunit ribosomal RNA", at positions 30 to 531 of the family's 1533-position model. The record is from RNAcentral.